CUAUACAUGCAAGUCGAGCGGACAGAUGGGAGCUUGCUCCCUGAUGUUAGCGGCGGACGGGUGAGUAACACGUGGGUAACCUGCCUGUAAGACUGGGAUAACUCCGGGAAACCGGGGCUAAUACCGGAUGCUUGAUUGAACCGCAUGGUUCAAUUAUAAAAGGUGGCUUUUAGCUACCACUUACAGAUGGACCCGCGGCGCAUUAGCUAGUUGGUGAGGUAACGGCUCACCAAGGCAACGAUGCGUAGCCGACCUGAGAGGGUGAUCGGCCACACUGGGACUGAGACACGGCCCAAACUCCUACGGGAGGCAGCAGUAGGGAAUCUUCCGCAAUGGACGAAAGUCUGACGGAGCAACGCCGCGUGAGUGAUGAAGGUUUUCGGAUCGUAAAACUCUGUUGUUAGGGAAGAACAAGUACCGUUCGAAUAGGGCGGUACCUUGACGGUACCUAACCAGAAAGCCACGGCUAACUACGUGCCAGCAGCCGCGGUAAUACGUAGGUGGCAAGCGUUGUCCGGAAUUAUUGGGCGUAAAGCGCGCGCAGGCGGUUUCUUAAGUCUGAUGUGAAAGCCCCCGGCUCAACCGGGGAGGGUCAUUGGAAACUGGGGAACUUGAGUGCAGAAGAGGAGAGUGGAAUUCCACGUGUAGCGGUGAAAUGCGUAGAGAUGUGGAGGAACACCAGUGGCGAAGGCGACUCUCUGGUCUGUAACUGACGCUGAGGCGCGAAAGCGUGGGGAGCGAACAGGAUUAGAUACCCUGGUAGUCCACGCCGUAAACGAUGAGUGCUAAGUGUUAGAGGGUUUCCGCCCUUUAGUGCUGCAGCAAACGCAUUAAGCACUCCGCCUGGGGAGUACGGUCGCAAGACUGAAACUCAAAGGAAUUGACGGGGGCCCGCACAAGCGGUGGAGCAUGUGUUUUAAUUCGAAGCAACGCGAAGAACCUUACCAGGUCUUGACAUCCUCUGACACCCCUAGAGAUAGGCUUUCCCCUUUGGGGGCAGAGUGACAGGUGGUGCAUGGUUGUCGUCAGCUCGUGUCGUGAGAUGUUGGGUUAAGUCCCGCAAC
Molecule: ribosomal RNA, 1064 nt
Filed under: Bacillus licheniformis
Lineage: Bacteria; Bacillati; Bacillota; Bacilli; Caryophanales; Bacillaceae
Description: bacterial SSU rRNA
Rfam family: Bacterial small subunit ribosomal RNA
Source: RNAcentral